Non-coding RNA from Pocillopora verrucosa, 880 nucleotides. NCBI's taxonomy places the organism in Eukaryota, Metazoa, Cnidaria, Anthozoa, Scleractinia, Pocilloporidae. The record is from RefSeq and is a predicted model, not a curated record.
UAAGUUAUAUCUUAACUCCUUGCCCGUGACUAUUGUUAACCGCGUGUCUCGAAGCGGAACGAUGAGAUAGCAAUGUGAAAACGCCGAUCGGUGUUUUCACUUGCAUUGUUAUUUCAUCUUUUACUGUGUUUAUCAUCCAAUUACAGGUCGGAGCCAUUCCUGUAUUUAGUCGCUAGUACUGUAAAAAGGUCUAUUUGAUAUUGCCUCAUGGCUUUCCUUACUUUUCUGUUGGAGCUAGUACAAUAAGAUUCAAUCCACUUACAGACAAAGAUGGUGCCUGUACAUUUUACCUUUAUUCUUAGGCCACUUGAGUCUAAAUGGAAAUAAAACACAUAAAAAUGAUGGUUUCCAAGGAAGGUUUCUUCGCUUCAUGCCUGGGUCCUGGGUCCUAAAACAUUAUUCUGUUUUAUGGAAAAUAACAGUUAACUUGAGCAGGAAAACUCCAAUCAGCCUAGAGAGGCCAGAAAAUAAUUGUGCUUAGAAAUAACAGUUACCUCCAGCUGGAAAACAAAAAAGACAGAACAGCUUGCAGGGGCUGGAAAAUACAACAGAUUGUAGCUUCUAUGGAUGCCAGAAAUAUGUUUAUGAAAAACUGGCAGAUACUGUUUUGUGCAUUGUGCUGGUGAAGACAGCAGUGCAAGAAUAGGUGAAGAUAGAAUCAAGAAAUGCAAAACAGGAGUGAGUCCAUUUAGUCCUGAAAAAACCAUGGAAGAGGUUUCUGCUGGUUUUGGUGUUGCUUUUCCUGGUAAGUAUGAAUCAGGAGAUUUUGAGGAGGAUUAUGACGAUAUGAAUGAUGAUCUAUUUGUUCUCCCCCCUCCUCUUUCACCAUUAGACAUUCAACUACUGGACAAAGACACAGAGCUGUCAAAUGAAAACAAUA